Molecule: ribosomal RNA, 252 nt
Filed under: uncultured bacterium
Lineage: Bacteria
Description: partial 16S ribosomal RNA
Rfam family: Bacterial small subunit ribosomal RNA
Source: RNAcentral
GCAAGUCGAGCGGAAACGAUGGAAAGCUUGCUUUUCAGGCGUCGAGCGGCGGACGGGUGAGUAACGCUUGGGAAUAUGCCUUAUGGUGGGGGACAACAGUUGGAAACGACUGCUAAUACCGCAUAAUGUCUACGGACCAAAGGGGGGGAUCUUCGGACCUCUCGCCAUUUGAUUAGCCCAAGUGAGAUUAGCUAGUUGGUAAGGUAAUGGCUUACCAAGGCGACGAUCGGUAGCUGGUCUGAGAGGAUGAUC